RNAcentral lists this ribosomal RNA (570 nucleotides) under Shewanella sp. Its description in RNAcentral is "bacterial SSU rRNA". It matches the Rfam family "Bacterial small subunit ribosomal RNA", at positions 361 to 924 of the family's 1533-position model. The record is from RNAcentral. Lineage: Bacteria; Pseudomonadati; Pseudomonadota; Gammaproteobacteria; Alteromonadales; Shewanellaceae.
AUAUUGCACAAUGGGGGAAACCCUGAUGCAGCCAUGCCGCGUGUGUGAAGAAGGCCUUCGGGUUGUAAAGCACUUUCAGUAGGGAGGAAAGGUAGCAGCUUAAUACGCUGUUGCUGUGACGUUACCUACAGAAGAAGGACCGGCUAACUCCGUGCCAGCAGCCGCGGUAAUACGGAGGGUCCGAGCGUUAAUCGGAAUUACUGGGCGUAAAGCGUGCGCAGGCGGUUUGUUAAGCGAGAUGUGAAAGCCCCGGGCUCAACCUGGGAAUUGCAUUUCGAACUGGCGAACUAGAGUCUUGUAGAGGGGGGUAGAAUUCCAGGUGUAGCGGUGAAAUGCGUAGAGAUCUGGAGGAAUACCGGUGGCGAAGGCGGCCCCCUGGACAAAGACUGACGCUCAGGCACGAAAGCGUGGGGAGCAAACAGGAUUAGAUACCCUGGUAGUCCACGCCGUAAACGAUGUCUACUCGGAGUUUGGUGUCUUGAACACUGGGCUCUCAAGCUAACGCAUUAAGUAGACCGCCUGGGGAGUACGGCCGCAAGGUUAAAACUCAAAUGAAUUGACGGGGCCCGC